RNAcentral lists this ribosomal RNA (491 nucleotides) under uncultured bacterium. Its description in RNAcentral is "partial 16S ribosomal RNA". It matches the Rfam family "Bacterial small subunit ribosomal RNA", at positions 29 to 507 of the family's 1533-position model. The record is from RNAcentral.
GUGAACGCUGGCGGUAGGCCUAACACAUGCAAGUCGAACGGCAGCACAGUAAGAGCUUGCUCUUACGGGUGGCGAGUGGCGGACGGGUGAGGAAUACAUCGGAAUCUACUUUUUCGUGGGGGAUAACGUAGGGAAACUUACGCUAAUACCGCAUACGACCUACGGGUGAAAGCAGGGGAUCUUCGGACCUUGCGCGAUUGAAUGAGCCGAUGUCGGAUUAGCUAGUUGGCGGGGUAAAGGCCCACCAAGGCGACGAUCCGUAGCUGGUCUGAGAGGAUGAUCAGCCACACUGGAACUGAGACACGGUCCAGACUCCUACGGGAGGCAGCAGUGGGGAAUAUUGGACAAAGGGCGCAAGCCUGAUCCAGCCAUACCGCGUGGGUGAAGAAGGCCUUCGGGUUGUAAAGCCCUUUUGUUGGGAAAGAAAAGCAGCAAGUUAAUACCCCGCUGUUCUGACGGUACCCAAAGAAUAAGCACCGGCUAACUUCGUG